This is a small nuclear RNA of Psammomys obesus (fat sand rat), 102 nucleotides long. The record is from RefSeq and is a predicted model, not a curated record. Lineage: Eukaryota; Metazoa; Chordata; Mammalia; Rodentia; Muridae.
GUGUUCACUGCAGCCGCGUAUAUGCUAACGUGAACAGUACAGAGGUUAGAGCGGCCCCUGAGCAAGAAUGACACGCACAUUUGUGAAGCGUUCCAUAUUUUU